GAGAACCUGCCCCCUCCCCCGGGAUAGCCGCCCGAAAGGACGGGUAAUACCGGAUACCCCGGGGCGCCGCAUGGCGCCCCGGCUAAAGCCCCGACGGGAGGGGAUGGCUCCGCGGCCCAUCAGGUAGACGGCGGGGUGACGGCCCACCGUGCCGACAACGGGUAGCCGGGUUGGGAGACCGACCGGCCAGAUUGGGACUGAGACACGGCCCAGACUCCUACGGGAGGCAGCAGUGGGGAAUCUUGCGCAAUGGGGGGAACCCUGACGCAGCGACGCCGCGUGCGGGACGGAGGCCUUCGGGUCGUAAACCGCUUUCAGCAGGGAAGAGAGAAGACUGUACCUGCAGAAGAAGCCCCGGCUAACUACGUGCCAGCAGCCGCGGUAAUACGUAGGGGGCGAGCGUUAUCCGGAUUCAUUGGGCGUAAAGCGCGCGUAGGCGGCCCGGCAGGCCGGGGGUCGAAGCGGGGGGCUCAACCCCCCGAAGCCCCCGGAACCUCCGCGGCUUGGGUCCGGUAGGGGAGGGUGGAACACCCGGUGUAGCGGUGGAAUGCGCAGAUAUCGGGUGGAACACCGGUGGCGAAGGCGGCCCUCUGGGCCGAGACCGACGCUGAGGCGCGAAAGCUGGGGGAGCGAACAGGAUUAGAUACCCUGGUAGUCCCAGCCGUAAACGAUGGACGCUAGGUGUGGGGGGACGAUCCCCCCGUGCCGCAGCCAACGCAUUA
Molecule: ribosomal RNA, 722 nt
Filed under: uncultured bacterium
Lineage: Bacteria
Description: partial 16S ribosomal RNA
Rfam family: Bacterial small subunit ribosomal RNA
Source: RNAcentral